GGAUGGGUAUGCUCAGUGGUAGAGCACAUGUUUAUCAUACACAAGGUCCUGGGUUCAAUUCCCUAGUACCUCCA
This 74-nucleotide transfer RNA is filed under the name Camelus bactrianus (Bactrian camel). It matches the Rfam family "tRNA". From Rfam's summary of the family: Transfer RNA (tRNA) molecules are approximately 80 nucleotides in length. Their secondary structure includes four short double-helical elements and three loops (D, anti-codon, and T loops). Lineage: Eukaryota; Metazoa; Chordata; Mammalia; Artiodactyla; Camelidae. RNAcentral also lists the same sequence under 2 other names. The record is from Rfam by way of RNAcentral.